UGUAUUUAAAAGCUCGUGUUUCCUUUUGACCUAUGAUGGUCAGCAAGCGCAAGCACUGAAGGGCCUGGUCGUUCAUCAGCGUCUGCGAGAGGAGAAGAGCUCUGAGACAUUGGAUGAGUACAGUGAAGAAGACAGCUGCAUUUAACAGAGUACGCCAUCUUUUAACAGAAAUGUGAAGAUCUUGGAUACUUACAUGCUCAACUAGCAAAAAGAAAAUUAUCUUUUAGCUUGUGUUUCCUGACUUGAAGUAGAGACCUAAGCCUGCACUCCACAUACUCCAACCCAGUUCCUCAAAUGCCAAGUUCUAUGCCCCCAUCUGCAGCACACCCCACCCCUGCCAGAGAGGCAUGAAUCAGCAUCUCUGAUGGGAGAGGUCUGGCUUACAGAGAGUCUCUAUUGACAUGACAUUAUGGACGCUCACAAACAUGGACUGUCUGGCAGCUGCAAGAGCUCAACAGAGGGACAGAAACAUCACUAUGCAGGAUCAUCUCUACUGAAGACCCAGCAGGCUCACAUUUUACCAUUCACACCAUCGUGUGUUUUUUUUCCUCUGCUUGUAAUUUUAUCAUGUUAUAACACAAUGCGCGAUAUGCCAGCAGGCAUUUCAGGGUACUUUGGUUUAUUUAGAUGAAAUACAUGUUUAUGAACAGAGCUGGAACACUUUAGGAAGGAAUUUGUUUUUCAUGGCUUUGUUUCCAGAAUGCAAAACAACUACGUGCUUGUUGAAUUUUCUGCAGGCAACCAGUUAUGCAUUGUUGAUUUGUCUGGCUUUGGGGACCUGUAAAAAUCCAGUGGCCAUAGAGGUUGGAAAAUGAUGAGACACUUUUCUUCCAGUUUUCCCUCCACCCUUCAGAAUGGUUUCAAAUAUAUUUUAGAUUAGGAAAAGGUGUUGUUUAUGGACUACUUUUUGCAAGCACUUUCUUCAUCUUGCCUAAUGACCUUCCUUCUGAUAUCCAUGUUGUGAAUAGCGAGAUAUAAGCUUUCUCUCCGCCUCCUUAUGGCAGGGACUAGAACAGGGUACAAGGAUUGGAAAGCAAGCACACGAACAAAGAUGGUAGGGAUUUCCACAUAGGAAAACAAAACUGAUGCAGGAGGACAUCAGCCUUUGGUCCUCCAACUAACCACCCAUCAACACAAGCAGGAAGUCGAAAACAGGGAAUGCAAACACUCUCAUAAUAUUUAGACCAGAAGGUACUUUUGAAAUGUCAUUGCACUUCCCCAGAUCUUUUAUUUGAUGAGAAUUUUCAACUUCACUAUUUCUAGCUGUUCAUAUUUGGGUCAUGAGAAUAAACGAGUGAAUGCAGAGGAGGCAGAGAAUGCCACUGUCCCCAGGAUGGAUGCAUUAAAGCACAUUCCUGACAGAAUGGGGAAAGAAAGCGAUGCAGCAACAGUAAAGAAUAACAUGAUCCUAGUCACAUAGCAAUGGGUCAUACCAAGUGCAUGUAUCUAUGCAUGUUACACAAUCUCAAGUUCCUAGUCACUGGAGAACACUAUGGAGAUCCUUAAAUACUCUUCCAAAAUGGUACAGUAUCUCUUUCCCGUAUUUUUAGUACAGACCUUCAGACUAUGAAUCUCAGCAUGACAGUCUCUCAGAAACAGAGACAGGAGGGGUGGAAACAGUCUGCAGCACAAAAAUGAAAUUCUGGAAGUGCUACAAUUACUAAGAUAAAGGGAUGGCAAUAUAAUGUAAAUAAACACUUUGUAAGAGUUUUGAAAGCUAGCUCCCAUCUGUUCUGGAUACAUAAAAAUGCUACAGAAGGGACUACAAUUUACAGCAGAAAUGGCAGUACUGUUAACCUCAGUUUAACAGGAGAGAGAAAACUGCUUUACAUGUCAAACACCACAUUAUUAUAUAAACGAUCCACAAAGAACAGAAAAUCAAGACACAGAAAUAAGCUGGUAUGAGUUACUCUGUGAGGAAGCCGGGGCCAGAAGCCCACAUAUACAGGUAUGUUUAAUACCUUUCGUCAAACCAGUGCUGAAACAUACUCUAUAGUAAAUGAAUGAUAAUAAUUCCCCAAAUUCUUCACAUCUUUAAAAAAAAGACCUUUCAAAUAUCUGAUAUAGUAAUGAUUCUGUCAAUAAUCCAUAUUCACUCUGUAGCAGCUGCUGUGAAUCACUGUGUUUCUUACUCACAAACCCAGAAUAGCAAAUCAGGCUCUUCGGGAACACAGGUCCUCUCCAUCAGGCCUGUGUGGGUAGUGUGGCAUUUGUAACACCACUUAGAUGACUUGGAAGCACAAGUCCUCCUCAAAGUCAUAGCACAGACAAAAGAAUUUAAUCCACCAUCACAGAUGCAGGAUUCCUUUUCUAAAUGGAUUGGCGAUGAGAGCAGCUGGAAUUAUAGACAUCAGAAAGAGUUAUUUAAUUCUGCUAGUUGAGAGGAAAGAACAUUUGCCAGUUCUUCAGCAGAAAUACAUUUGCUCAGUUCAUUAGGAUGAAAUAGGUCUUACCCUUAGGAAACUGGACUGACUACAGGGAUGUGCACUUGGCCUGUUUCAUAGAGAUGGUUGAUUUCCUGCAAUUACGCGGAAAGGGGAAUGAAAGGGAGGGUUGAUUAACUAGGUAGAAACACAAAUAUUAUAGAAUGAUUUAAAGAAUAAAGAUUCAUGGUAAACAUUAAAAAAAAAUCUAUUAAACCAUUAUUUUCCUCCUAAUGCAAUUGUUGCAAUUUUUCUGUUGAUUUGUGUUAUUACAGGGUAACUGUUAUUAAAUUUAACAAGUUUGCCCAAAGGAUGUUCCUUGGGAGGCUAUACAAAAUCCUUCAAAAGGAGCAAAGGAUAUUUGUAUAUUUGUACAUUUGCACAUGGGAAAAAGCUGAAAACACACUGCUGCUGGAAUACAAAGGCUACACU
Columba livia (rock pigeon) is the source of this 2855-nucleotide long non-coding RNA. RefSeq lists it as uncharacterized. The record is from RefSeq and is a predicted model, not a curated record. Lineage: Eukaryota; Metazoa; Chordata; Aves; Columbiformes; Columbidae. The transcript has 3 exons.